Molecule: non-coding RNA, 240 nt
Organism: Vicia faba (fava bean)
Lineage: Eukaryota; Viridiplantae; Streptophyta; Magnoliopsida; Fabales; Fabaceae
Source: the annotation of a GenBank genome assembly
AUGUCGGAAAAGGGUCGCCCACUACCCAAAUUCGGUGAAUGGGAUGUCAAUGAUCCAGCCUCAGCUGAGGGGUUCACAGUCAUUUUUAAUAAGGCAAGAGAUGAGAAAAAGACAGGUGGCAAUACAGAGUCACCUGGAAAGACUGCCACUGAACCUCAAAGCAAACCUGCAUCAGAUCCCGGCAAACCUCAGAGUAAAAAAUGGUUUUGCUGCAUACAAAACCCUCCUGCAGAAUCAUAA